AGUGAACGCUGGCGGUAGGCCUAACACAUGCAAGUCGAACGGCAGCACAGUAAGAGCUUGCUCUUACGGGUGGCGAGUGGCGGACGGGUGAGGAAUACAUCGGAAUCUACUUUUUCGUGGGGGAUAACGUAGGGAAACUUACGCUAAUACCGCAUACGACCUACGGGUGAAAGCAGGGGAUCUUCGGACCUUGCGCGAUUGAAUGAGCCGAUGUCGGAUUAGCUAGUUGGCGGGGUAAAGGCCCACCAAGGCGACGAUCCGUAGCUGGUCUGAGAGGAUGAUCAGCCACACUGGAACUGAGACACGGUCCAGACUCCUACGGGAGGCAGCAGUGGGGAAUAUUGGACAAUGGGCGCAAGCCUGAUCCAGCCAUACCGCGUGGGUGAAAAAGGCCUUCGGGUUGUAAAGCCCUUUUGUUGGGAAAGAAAAGCAGCAGGUUAAUACCCCGCUGUUCUGACGGUACCCAAAGAAGAAGCACCGGCUAACUUCGUG
This 492-nucleotide ribosomal RNA is filed under the name uncultured bacterium. RNAcentral describes it as "partial 16S ribosomal RNA". It matches the Rfam family "Bacterial small subunit ribosomal RNA", at positions 29 to 507 of the family's 1533-position model. The record is from RNAcentral.